This 482-nucleotide ribosomal RNA is filed under the name uncultured bacterium. Its description in RNAcentral is "partial 16S ribosomal RNA". It matches the Rfam family "Bacterial small subunit ribosomal RNA", at positions 28 to 507 of the family's 1533-position model. The record is from RNAcentral.
GAUGAACGCUAGCGGCAGGCCUAAUACAUGCAAGUCGAACGAGAUUAAGAGGCUUGCUUCUUAUGAAAGUGGCGCACGGGUGCGUAACGCGUAUGCAACCUACCUUAAUCAGGGGGAUAGCCCGAAGAAAUUCGGAUUAAGACCGCAUAAAAACACAGGAUAGCAUUAUCCAAUGUUCAAAUAUUUAUAGGAUUAAGAUGGGCAUGCGUAUCAUUAGCUAGUUGGCGGGGUAACGGCCCACCAAGGCGACGAUGACUAGGGGAUCUGAGAGGAUGACCCCCCACACUGGUACUGAGACACGGACCAGACUCCUACGGGAGGCAGCAGUAAGGAAUAUUGGUCAAUGGAGGGAACUCUGAACCAGCCAUGCCGCGUGCAGGAAGACAGCCCUCUGGGUCGUAAACUGCUUUUAGUCGGGAAUAAACCUUUCUACGUGUAGGAAGCUGAAUGUACCGAAGGAAUAAGGAUCGGCUAACUCCGUG